Molecule: ribosomal RNA, 483 nt
Filed under: uncultured bacterium
Lineage: Bacteria
Description: partial 16S ribosomal RNA
Rfam family: Bacterial small subunit ribosomal RNA
Source: RNAcentral
GACGAACGCUGGCGGCGUGCUUAACACAUGCAAGUCGAACGAUGACGCCCAGCUUGCUGGGUGGAUUAGUGGCGAACGGGUGAGUAACACGUGAGUAACCUGCCCCUGACUCUGGGAUAAGCGUUGGAAACGACGUCUAAUACUGGAUAUGACUACUGGUCGCAUGGCCUGGUGGGGGGAAGAUUUUUUGGUUGGGGAUGGACUCGCGGCCUAUCAGCUUGUUGGUGAGGUAAUGGCUCACCAAGGCGACGACGGGUAGCCGGCCUGAGAGGGUGACCGGCCACACUGGGACUGAGACACGGCCCAGACUCCUACGGGAGGCAGCAGUGGGGAAUAUUGCACAAUGGGCGAAAGCCUGACGCAGCAACGCCGCGUGAGGGAUGACGGCCUUCGGGUUGUAAACCUCUUUUAGUAGUGAAGAAGCGAAAGUGACGGUACCUGCAGAAAAAGCACCGGCUAACUACGUGCCAGCAGCCGCAGUAA